Molecule: long non-coding RNA, 1581 nt
Organism: Zingiber officinale
Lineage: Eukaryota; Viridiplantae; Streptophyta; Magnoliopsida; Zingiberales; Zingiberaceae
Exons: 2
Source: RefSeq, a predicted model, not a curated record
CCAAGAUCAAUUUGUAAAAAGGGAUCGUCAAGAAGCUCCCUAGCAGAAAGCCUCUCGGAUGCAGUCGCAAGGCAUUUUUCAACGAAUUCCCUGACCUCAGGAUCUUUAACUCGGUAUAGUGCUUCCGGCUUCAUUCCCUGGUGGGUGCAUUCGCUAUAAGGGUACUCAAAGGUGACCAUUUCCAGCACACACAUCCCGAACGAAUAGAUGUCGACUAGUUCAUUGUAUUCUUCCUCAUACACCUCCGGUGCCAUGAACUCCGGUGUGCCUGUAAGUGAUUUCAAAAACCAUCCAAAAAACGGUUACAUACUACUGCCACAAGGAAUUUGAUGGGCAAAGAUCCAAAAGUCUAUGAUCAUACCCACGCAAUGGAUGGCGUGUGAUUUCCGAAGAAUGGCAGCAAGGCCAAGAUCCCCAAUCUUGACCUCGCCUUGAUUGCCAUUGAUGAAGAUAUUGUCACACUUGAGGUCCCUAUGGAUGAUUGGGGGAUCAUGGCUAUGGAGAUAGAGAAGGCCACUAAUAAUCUGCCUACACCAAUGCUUCACUGCCCUGAUGUUAAUCCUUCUGUGCUUUUGCCUAUACCUAUCCACAGAUCGUAAACCGCUACCGAUCGGAACACAAACAGAUUGUUUUAAGGUAUAAGGACAGAAGAAACAAGCAACAAGAUCGACUUACUGCCUGAGGGUGCCGGAGGUGAACAACUCAGUGACAAAAUUGAUGUUCCUCUCAGCGGUGUCCACCCACGAGGUGUAGAACUUCAUAAUGUUCCUGUGCUUCAAGGUCUUGAGGAGGUGGAUCUCACAGUAGAGCCUCUCCAGGUUCUCGGGGCUCUGCAGGAAAUCAUACAGCUUCACUUGGUUCCAAGCAACCUCAAUCCCUUCGUACUCAUCGAAAGCCCUAUAACUGGCGGCAAGAAAAUCCCCCCCCAAAAAAAAGAGGGCAAAAGAUCAGAAAAAGCAAAAGCCUGCAAAUCAAGCGACAAGAAACCCAGAUUUAGGUUAAGAAAUGCUUCGUACACUGUCUUGGAAGCGCCCUUGCCCAGGAUCUCGUUGUACUGCGCAGAAACAAGCCAAAAGAAAAAAAGAUGAAAUCUUUACCCCCAAACUGGAAUCUAUCUUUAGCAGCAAUCAACGAAAAGGAUGAAGAAAGAAAGAAAGCAAGAAGUGUCACUACCCUUCCAUAUCUUCCUGUGGGAUCGACCUCGACGAACUGGAGGUGAUUCGGGUCUUCCGCUUCACUGCCCAUCCCUGAAGAACAUGAAGGAUCCUGAUCGCCGAGAAGGGGGAGGGGCGGCGGAGGAAGCGGAGGAAUCAAGGUGGAAGAUAAGUCGAAGGAAUGGGCAUGGGGAUUUCCACCAAACAAGAAGAAGAAGAAGAGAUCUUCGCAAGAAAUCAAAGGCACAAGGAAGGCUGGCUGGCUAGCUGGCUAGCUGGCUCAUAAGUUUUCUCAACUGGGAGAAAAGAGUCCCCAUCCCAUAGGACAAAAGCAGGACGAGAUGAAACCACCUUUAAUUUCUUUUUUUUUUAUUCAAUUAUUUUAAAUAUUUUAUUUAAUAGAUUUAAUUAUCCUUUUAUUUCAUCA